This 73-nucleotide transfer RNA is filed under the name Prochlorothrix sp. Its description in RNAcentral is "tRNA-Arg". It matches the Rfam family "tRNA". Rfam says of the family: Transfer RNA (tRNA) molecules are approximately 80 nucleotides in length. Their secondary structure includes four short double-helical elements and three loops (D, anti-codon, and T loops). The record is from RNAcentral. Lineage: Bacteria; Bacillati; Cyanobacteriota; Cyanophyceae; Prochlorotrichales; Prochlorotrichaceae. RNAcentral also lists the same sequence under 1 other name.
GCUCCAGUAGCUCAGGGGAUAGAGCAAUCGCCUUCUAAGCGAUCGGUCGUUGGUUCAAAUCCAACCUGGGGCG